This 406-nucleotide ribosomal RNA is filed under the name uncultured bacterium. Its description in RNAcentral is "partial 16S ribosomal RNA". It matches the Rfam family "Bacterial small subunit ribosomal RNA", at positions 30 to 526 of the family's 1533-position model. The record is from RNAcentral.
AUUGAACGCUGGCGGCAGGCCUAACACAUGCAAGUCGAACGAGUGGCGGACGGGUGAGUAAUGUCUGGGAAACUGCCUGCUGGCGGGGGAUAACUCCUGGAAACGGUAGCUAAUACCGCAUACCCUCGGAUGUGCCCAGAUGGGAUUAGCUAGUAGGUGGGGUAUAGGCGCACCUAGGCGACGAUCCCUAGCUGGUCUGAGAGGAUGACCAGCCACACGGGAACUGAGACACGGUCCAAACUCAUACGGGAGGCAGCAGUGGGGAAUAUUGCACAAUGGGCACAAGCCUGAUGCAGCCAUGCCGCGUGUAUGAAGAAGGCCUUCGGGUUGUAAAGUACUUUCAGCGGGGAGGCGUUACCCGCAGAAGAAGCACCGGCUAACUCCGUGCCAGCAGCCGCGGUAAUUC